AGGGAAAGAGGGGGGAAGGAAGAACAAAGGCAAGUCGAAAGGUAACAGGAAGCAGCUUGCUGCUUUGCUGACGAGUGGCGGACGGGUGAGUAAUGUCUGGGAAACUGCCCGAUGGAGGGGGAUAACUACUGGAAACGGUAGCUAAUACCGCAUAACGUCGCAAGACCAAAGAGGGGGACCUUAGGGCCUCUUGCCAUCGGAUGUGCCCAGAUGGGAUUAGCUAGUAGGUGGGGUAACGGCUCACCUAGGCGACGAUCCCUAGCUGGUCUGAGAGGAUGACCAGCCACACUGGAACUGAGACACGGUCCAGACUCCUACGGGAGGCAGCAGUGGGGAAUAUUGCACAAUGGGCGCAAGCCUGAUGCAGCCAUGCCGCGUGUAUGAAGAAGGCCUUCGGGUUGUAACUUCCUUUCAGCGGGGAGGAAGGGAGUAAAGUUAAUACCUUUGCUCAUUGACGUUACCCGCAGAAGAAGCACCGGCUCCCUCCGUG
RNAcentral lists this ribosomal RNA (490 nucleotides) under uncultured bacterium. RNAcentral describes it as "partial 16S ribosomal RNA". It matches the Rfam family "Bacterial small subunit ribosomal RNA", at positions 38 to 507 of the family's 1533-position model. The record is from RNAcentral.